GUAAAACUGAGCAAAACAUGUUUUUGUUCUUUUUAUUUUCAUUUUCUGAUGUUUUUUAUUUGUAUUUAGUACUGUUGUGUAUACAUUCAGGGUAUCAAAAAGCCCUACACUCCUUUUAAUAUCCUAUUUAACAAAGAAAAACUGUGAAAUUGUGGUAGCAUGAACGCACUGCAAAAGAGCCUUGGUCACAUUCAUGUUACAUCUCAAAAGAGCCUAGGUCAUUUGGGGUUUAAUGCAGCUGGAGCAGUCUGAGUGUUUGGAAGAACCCCAGUUUUUGUCAAACAGUUCUGACAGUUUGAUAGAUAAACAUGGGCUGGUGCGUGUCAUCCAAAGUAUGCAUGAUUUUGUCCCAACAUAGCAAGGAUUAACCUGAGCUGCCUGAGUUUGUUUGGCAUCCAGGGUUAACAUGAACUGCUUGCAGGCAGAACUCUGUAAUACAUUUUGUGGGUCCUACCAGAUCAAAUUUAAGUGCUUGGAUCAAAGAGUUAAGUGCACAUCAGCAAUCUAAAUUAACCAGUUCUCAUAAACUGGUCAUGUUUGCUGGACAGAGAGCCUGAAAUAUAUAACUGAAUGUCAGCCCAGAUCAAGCUGAACUUUUCUUGAAUUUUAUUUGUGAACAGCAUCAGACCUGAUUUAAAGGACCACAAUAGUCACCCAGACUACUUCAGCUCAAUGAAGUGGUCUGGGUGCCAGGUCCAUCUAGGGUUAACCCUGCAGCUGUAAACAGCAGUUUCAGAGAAACUGCUAUGUUUACAUUAGGGUUAAUCCAGCCUCAAGUGGCUGUUUCAUUGAACAUCACAGUGAGAAGACGCUGCUGUCCAUAGGAAAGCAUUGAGAAAUGCUUUCCUAUGGACUGAUUGAAUGCGCGCGUGGCUCUUGCCACGCAUGCACAUUCGGCGGAUGACGCCGGAAGAGGGAGGAGAGUCCCCAGCGCUGAGUGGCGCUGGAGAAAGGUAAGAAUUUAACCCCUUCCUACCCCUUCAGCCCGGUGGAAGUGGGACACUGAGGGUAGGGGGGAACCAAAGACCCUAUAGUGCCAGGAAAAGUUUGUUUUCCUGGCACUAUAGUGGUCCUUUAACCCCUUAAGGACACGUGACAUGUCAUGAUUCCCUUUUAUUCCAGAAGUUUGGUCCUUAAGGGGUUAAACUAGAAGUUCCCACUUGGCCUGCUGUAAGAUUCUCAAUAAUAUCUGUGCGAGUUUAGGCUCUGUGCUUUAAUAAAAUAUUACAGUCUGGUUUAGUCUUUGCACUCUAGUAUCUGGAUUCAUUAACCUAAAGAGACCUAUUUAAUAGCAUUUUUGAUAACAUUUAUUUGGCUAAACUGUGUUUUGUGGGGGAGUUAAAUCUGAUUAUGGUGUAUAACCAAAGCCACUCGUAUAUAAAUUGCCUUUUUGGUGGCAGCUUUUCAUUGUGGUUUUAAGUGUGGGUGAUGUUUAGCUGGAUUUUGCAAUCAUUAUUUUUGGUCUAGUACAGACAUAUGUAUUUUAAACAGUUCACCCCAAAACCAAGUUGCGAGCACGCUUGAAGUAUUGUGGCCCAUGACAGCUACCCAUAGCAUUUAUACGCCAUAAUCACUAUGCUAAAUUAUAGUGAAUAUGGUGCUUAGAGAGUGUCUCUUCAAUUAAUUCUCCUCUCAGUUUACCAUAGCAUUCAACUAGGUGAAAAUAUUCUGAUAUAACACACCAACUCCAUUUUAAAUUAAUAUUCUAGAAUGUACUACUGGAUACAUUAAAGGAGAGCUAUCUGUUUAGUUGAGAAUACACCACCUAAUAAAACAUUGCAAAUCCCCUAUAACUUGUGUCAACUCUUCUUAUUUUUGUGUGAUGCUCAAUUUUGUUUUCUUCAACUCUUUGUUUAUUUAAGACUUGUAUAUAGUGAUAGAUAACAAUAUAGGACAGUUAAAAAAGAGGGAGUAUGUUUCUUUGGUUCCUCUCCACGAGGAACCAAAGACAAACGUAAAGAAGCAUUGUUUGAUCAAGUUUCAAACAUCAGUUAAGGUAUCUAUCUCUUAAAUGUGCUGGGCCAUGGCUCCCUGUGCAGAUGGGAGAGCACUGCAUAAUAUGGAUAGUAAGAAGAGGGUUAAGAGAUAAAAGAGGAGGGGAGUGUUGUGACAUAUGUGCUUAAUGUUUACAAAGGAUAGUGACCAGAGAUAAUUGUAUCCAGGUGGCAAUGUAUGUGGAAGCAAUUGCAGCUCAAUUUCUUCUACUCUUGCACCCAUAGUGAGAUCUUUGACCCCAGCGGUGCAAGACCAGGCCUCUUUGUGAGGGAUUUUUUAGGGGUUCUACAAAAGGAAUAGGUCAAGAUUAAACGAGAACGUUAUCCCUGUGAUUUCUUUAAGUUGACUGGAUAUCCCUCUCCAAGAGGGAGAGAUGUUGGGACAUGACCAAAAUAUACAAUUUUUUUUUUUUUUAAAUGGUGUAUUAAAGAUUUAACAAAUCCAAGGCACAAUGCAAGUAGUGAAACAGACACAUUGUGUUUGUACUUCCAUUUACUACUCUCUCACAACCAUUGAACAACUCUGUUAAGAUGCAAGUUGUGGGAAAGUCUGUUUGCUGGAUGUGGCGAAACUAACCUCGCCACGAAGCAUUGGAGAAGCCUGGUUGCUCGCCUGUUGCCCUUGGACUAUGGCCCCAUGUUUAAAAAGCCUUCUUUUCCCCAGCAGAAAAGGCUUGUUCGUACCUUUCUGUCCGGGGUUCGGUAGAUUCAAUCUACCGAACAAACAACCGAAUGACUGGACCGCCUGUAUUGGGAGUGUGUCGGCAAUUGACCUCCCAGAAGCUGCGGUUAACCGCAGCUUAAUUGACGAAUGCUGGGUGGCCUUUGUUCAUUUGCCGAACAUGUGGCAGUGGCCAUUUUAAAGUCCCAAACGGCCAGCGGUGUUCAGCGCCCAAACUAUGGAACUGGAAACGGACACUUAUUUGCGCGAACACCGCUGAGCCGUCAGCCUCCUUGCUCCUGCAUUCGGUCAUUUAACCAGAUGCCUGUUCAUUCGGUAGUUUAACCGUAUGAAGAGCAAUACCCCAGAUAGCCAUCCCGUGGAGUCUAUUCGUAUGGAGAACAGACUUUGUGAACACUUUGACUCCACGGCGAUUGGACGGUGUGCAUAGGAUCUGAGCCCUUUCAGUACUUUUGUGCGCUCAGAUCCCAGCUAUCUGGGGAUGGGUUACAUGUAUAUAUUUUAUGUGACAAAUGUAACAUGUAUUUUAGGGUUUUAUUGUAACCAUGUGGUUACGGGAGUUUCGCCUCUGUCCUUGGAGAUAAUUGGAUUACUUCACAAUUAUCUCCAGGAUAGAGGGGAGGGAUUGUAAUGUACUGUGGGAGUGUUUUAACCCUGUAUGCCUGUAAUUGGUCAUUUUACAAUUUGUGUCGCAGUCUCCCAUUUGGUCCCCUAGGGGAGUGUCCACCAGGUGGGAGACCUGCAUAAACACUGGGCAGGUAGCCCUCAAUAAACCAGACCACUGCUUGACCCUCAACACGGAGCUCUGUCUCUUCUUUGGGGGGAUUUACUGUAUGCUGUUAGAGACUGAUUGCCAGGAGUGUAAGCCGUUGGGUGCUUUUCCUGUUCGUCUGCUAGCAGCUAUUCGUGAGGUUCCAGUUCGGGAGUUUGGUGUUCUGCAGUAGCUGUGCCUGUAUCUCUGGAAGGGGAAGAUCGACUUAACGGCGGUUUGACCCUUUUAUGCCUGGGGGUGCCGUUACACUGACUGACUGACAUAUGUAAAUGCUGGUUUUGCGGUAGAAGAG
RNAcentral lists this long non-coding RNA (3740 nucleotides) under Pelobates cultripes (western spadefoot toad). The record is from RNAcentral. Lineage: Eukaryota; Metazoa; Chordata; Amphibia; Anura; Pelobatidae.